CACGUAGGGCGCGAGCGUUGUCCGGAAUUAUUGGGCGUAAAGAGCUCGUAGGCGGCCUGUUGCGUCCGCUGUGAAAGCCCGGGGCUUAACCCCGGGUCUGCAGUGGAUACGGGCAGGCUAGAGGUAGGUAGGGGAGAAUGGAAUUCCCGGUGUAGCGGUGAAAUGCGCAGAUAUCGGGAGGAACACCGGUGGCGAAGGCGGUUCUCUGGGCAUUACCUGACGCUGAGGAGCGAAAGCGUGGGGAGCGAACAGG
This 253-nucleotide ribosomal RNA is filed under the name uncultured bacterium. RNAcentral's name for it is "partial 16S ribosomal RNA". It matches the Rfam family "Bacterial small subunit ribosomal RNA", at positions 524 to 776 of the family's 1533-position model. The record is from RNAcentral.